This 482-nucleotide ribosomal RNA is filed under the name Ascomycota sp. NY7858d. RNAcentral's name for it is "eukaryotic LSU rRNA". The stretch from base 174 to 327 matches the Rfam family "5.8S ribosomal RNA". Lineage: Eukaryota; Fungi; Ascomycota. The record is from RNAcentral.
GGGAGCAACAGCUACCGUCGGGCGGUAGAGGUAACACUUUCACGCGCCGCAUGUCUGAAUCCUUUUUUUACGAGCACCUUUCGUUCUCCUUCGGCGGGGCAACCUGCCGUUGGAACCUAUCAAAACCUUUUUUUGCAUCUAGCAUUACCUGUUCUGAUACAAACAAUCGUUACAACUUUCAACAAUGGAUCUCUUGGCUCUGGCAUCGAUGAAGAACGCAGCGAAAUGCGAUAAGUAGUGUGAAUUGCAGAAUUCAGUGAAUCAUCGAAUCUUUGAACGCACAUUGCGCCCCUUGGUAUUCCAUGGGGCAUGCCUGUUCGAGCGUCAUCUACACCCUCAAGCUCUGCUUGGUGUUGGGCGUCUGUCCCGCCUCUGCGCGCGGACUCGCCCCAAAUUCAUUGGCAGCGGUCCUUGCCUCCUCUCGCGCAGCACAUUGCGCUUCUCGAGGUGCGCGGCCCGCGUCCACGAAGCAACAUUACCGU